This 586-nucleotide long non-coding RNA is filed under the name Helianthus annuus (common sunflower). RNAcentral describes it as "hypothetical non coding rna". The record is from RNAcentral. Lineage: Eukaryota; Viridiplantae; Streptophyta; Magnoliopsida; Asterales; Asteraceae.
GGUUAAAUCUGAUCAUGUGCCUUGCACAUGAGUGUAUUCUUGUCAUUUCAUCUUCUUAGAGACUAUUUUUUAAUAAACUUAUUUUAAGGGACUAUAUUGUAAAUAAUGAAAAGUUUAUGAUAAAAACAAAAUAGUCUUCUGCAUUUUAAUCUCUCUCUCUCUCUUCUCUUCUCUCUCUCUUCUCUCUUCUGAAUGGUGGAUGGAGGAGACGGUAAGGUGGAUGGUUACCGGAAUCGAUUUUUGGUGGUGGGUUUUAGGGCGACGGUGAUGGGUGUGGUGGUUGAUAUGCAGUGGUGAUUUGGGUUUAGUAGUAGUGGUUGGUGCGGUGGUGAUUUGGGGGUGGUGUUGGUGGUUGAGAGAGAAAGAGAGUGGUAGAGAGAGGGGGUGGUGGAAGGGGGUGGUGGUGGGUUGAUAGUGGUGGUGGGUGAAGUCUUUAGUGAGAGAGACAGUUGAACCAAGUUGAUGGUGAUUUGGGUGAUGCUUCUUCAUCACAGAUCUAGAGAUUUGGAUCACUGGAAAACAUCGGUGAAGAUCCUUGUAAUAUAUUUCAUGUAAUUAUGCUUGAGUUGAUGACAGACAGGCACAC